AGAUAAUGCCCUAGGCCUUCGAUGAACCUUCCCCAUGGUUUAAAGAGCUUGCCCUAGCGCCUUUCCCUUUUCGGCCUAACGAGGGCUUUUCUUCCUCCGCAUUUUUAGGAUGAUAUAGAUUUUCGAUCUGACAGUGACACGUGUAUAAAUAUAAGCGGUCAAACCAUCUCCCCAUCUCAAGGAGGGCCUACACUUCCUCUGCUGUCUCGUCGACCUUUCCCUUCGAUGAUUCGUUCAAACAAAAUGUCAUGCUUCGUGCUUCGCACCCCUCGCAUUUUCAGUUGAUUCUUCCCAACUUCGAGAGUGAGA
This 309-nucleotide unclassified non-coding RNA is filed under the name Hevea brasiliensis (rubber tree). Lineage: Eukaryota; Viridiplantae; Streptophyta; Magnoliopsida; Malpighiales; Euphorbiaceae. The record is from RNAcentral.